UAUUAGGUUUGUGAGAUGCCACAAACGAUGUCGAAGAUGGAGACCAUAUUGUCCUCGACACCAUCCAAUCCCAGUCUUUCCACCAUCAUCCCAGUAUUGUUUGUAUCUUAAGAGAAAUGGACUCAUCCGCUUGUUUCUACUUUGCGUCUUGUGUUUGUAUCUUAAGAGAAAUGGAUUCAUCCGCUUGUUUCUACUUUGCGUCUUGAGGGGAGCAAUGAAAUUGAAAUGAUUUCGUGGGACCGGCAUGCGUUACAACUCCGUUUUCAAACGUGAAUAGGGAAACCAAGGAUUCUGUCGUGCCUUGUUCAAAGACAUUGCCUCAUUCAGAAAGCCCGUUUCUUCGACGUACAUUCUAUUGCUAUUUUAGCGCGGAAACGAUGGUUUUCCGUUCAACCACACACACUCUGUAUCCAGCGGGACGUUCUUUCCUUUUAUUUAUAAUACAAGAUAAAAGUUGGUUAUGAAAGCAUAUCGAUCGGACCCAAAAUUUCGUAACGUGUAUGUGGUUGAGUUCUAUCCGAUCCUGGUUCUUUUCAUUACGACUGGGAAACGAGUCUAGGAAAAGGAGAGCCCUUUUGUCUCAAUGUUUCAUAGCAGUAAGCAGUAAAAUCCUACCCAAAAGCAUAAAGAUAUUCUCCUCUUCCACUGCUUUAUGUUUAUUUAUAUUGGGAUAGUAGUCAAGUUGGAAACCAAGUUAAACAUUUUCCAUUGUUAGAAUCGUGGAUUUUGAAUCUAGCCCGUUGAUUAUUUUAGGUACUCAAGAAAGGCUCAUCGCCAAACAGAUUUCUAUUAACAAUAAAUCUCGACCUCCAACUCUUAUACUUUCCUAUUAUCUACGACCCAUGUCAUUGACAAUCAAGCAGCGUGAACAACUCUAAAGUAUAGACGUGGAAAAAUUCUCUCUUGUCUGCUCUCCCAAAGUUAUACGUACAAGCUUCGAGUUGUUAUGCGACAUCAGUUCCAUUUUACAUCCCCCCAAGCUUUUUAAGUUCUCUUCUUAUAUUCCGCUCUGCUCCCGUAUUUUAAAAUCUUCGGGGAGUAGACGAUGGGGCGCACGGUUGGGUAGACACCCCGGCAUAUAAUAGAGCGCUUUAUCCUUCGUCUACAUCUUUAUGCAUCCGAUAGACAGGAGUGUUCAAUAUGAAUUGCUUACCAAAGUUUUCUUUUUAUCCGUGAUUUCCUUUUUUGUUGAUUCCUAUCUAUUUGCACACACCUCAAGACUUUUGGAAGGCAACAAUAAACGAAAGACAAUUUUAAGAUUGGCCACUUUUGUCAUGCACGUUGUUAUAACGAAUUGGCACUGUAAGGCGGUCACGUGCAAGAGCGAAAACCCUGAUCGCGCACGAACCAAACGAACGAAAGUACAGAGGGAGGGAAGGGGAUUAAGAAAGGGAAAGGUCGUCCUACACAGACGGCAGCACAACACCGACUGUCAUUUCCCCUACGACUGUACUCGAGAGUUGAACUUGCGAAGUAUUUUUCCCGCCCACAGCUCACUCUUCCGCUUUUUUUCUCUCACCAUCGAAAAGGCUAGCCGAGAGUGAUUGCGCGCGCGUGAUAUCUUCGUCGGUUGGCUCGACAUUGACGGCUGCGGGAUCGGGAAAGAAGGGCGAAAAACAAAAACAAAAAAAAGGUUAUGUUAUUAUUUAAUCGCCAGAAAGAGAAAGAUGGGUUUCCUUCUUUAUGUUUGCGCUAAUCAUCCAAAUAGUGCUAGAAAGAUCAAUCAUUCACACCGUACUACAAUCAGCUCGCCUUUAACAGUGGGAGAUUAAACGAUCUUGAUUUUUCUUUCCACCUACGUGCAGCUAUGACCUUUGAGGCGAAGGUCAGUUUUUUCAAAACGAAUUACGUUAUAGCCAUUGAUAGUAAACGAAAAACAGGUUGAUGAAAGUACUGACAUUAUGAGAUUAACCGUUCCCAAGGAUCUCUCGUAGUUCCCGAUCAAACGAUUUAUUUCUAAGCAAAGCGAAACUCUUUAUUUUUUGCUCUAUGCUAUUUUGCUAGUAUUCACGACAGACACAAGAAAAAAGAAGCGGAGGAAACAAGCUCCUUGGCAUCAGAUCAAUCUUUUUUCAUCCUUUUUUUUGGCGAGAUUCUUCUUCAUCUUGUCUUCUAUUUUGGAUACUUAUUUUGUUUUAGUUUCCAAUAUUUUUUGCGCUCCUUUCCUCUAUGAUCCAAAAUGAAUAUCUAUUUGCAGAAGCGUCUCUCCUUUUUCAACUUUAGCCACUCUCAUUUUUUUUUUUUUUUUAGGCUGUCCAUAUUGCUUAUGUUGAUGUAUGUAGUAUCGCCAAAGGCCGACAUAUUCUUAUCCUUCCUGACAAAAAGGCAAACAAACAUCGCCAAAUAAAAAGACAACGAAGAAAAUAAUAAUAAAAAAAAGAAUUUCGGUAACAUAUGGCGCCGAAGGAUUGGGCGCAACUGUCACGUUUGAUCGAUAUGCGAGGCAUAGACGAAUCGAAAACCACACUCAAGUUUUAAAAGGCAACUCGGUCUACUCAAGCGACAAAAACAAGUCAUUCCACCGAGCUCGUGCAAGGUUGUUGAAAGUUUGACAGCGGGAGCACUACGGGAUACCAGCUGGUCUGUUUGCAGACAACAACAGUCACACACAUGACCUCAUUGCCUCUUCUUCGCAUCGGCCCCAUUAUUAACAUAGAGCACCAAAAUACUCUCAUUUUGGUGGCCAAAGGGACCUGGCACCCACUCUACUACCAACCCUACAGUCAAACUUGGCCUAGCCUUGGAUAGGCGUUGUAAUCCACUAGAUUGAUUGCCAAGUUUUUUUUUUUUUCUUUUUUCGGUCGUCACUGGACCAUAUUUGAAGAAGUUUCGGCAUUGUGACGCAGCUCUUAUAGGUUCACUUUGCAAGAAGAAGCGGAAGAACGUCAUCGUCGCUCAUCGGCAAAACAAAAGGAAGAAAAUGGUUAAAUGAAGGAAGAAGGCAAAGAAAGGGGAUCGAAUCAUUAAUGAGGGAAUUUUUGUAGUCUGCAAAAGUUGCGUGACGGCUCCCUUUUUCCGGUUCUCUAGUCACGUUUCUUUUCCCUUUGCAUUCUCAAUCCGGAUGCCGACACCACAUGAUAAAUAUGCUGGGCAUCGUCAAUUCAACAGAAAUGUGAAAGGUUGAGACCAAAAUGCGUCAUUCAGCGAUAAAGAAUACUUUCAAAGUCGAUCGUCACCUACCAUAUUUUCUCCAACUGACGGCCGGGCGGGAUACAAAAAUCAAGCAGACUCGCUAAUCAACAUUCAGUUUGCAAACAGAAGGGGGAACUUCAAAAUCUAUUUUCUAAUUGGAUUUAUUUUGACUUUUCCGGUGUUUUCUCAUAUACCUUUUCAUGGUUGUACCUUCUUCACUUUGUGCAAUUGUAGUAAUCCAAUCUUUCCGUCUCAUCAAAUUAGCUGAAAACAUUUCCCCGGAAGCACUAUACUAGCACGUCGCAUUGAUUAUACCUGCGAACAAUUCUCACGUAAUUGUGUCAUGAAACCAACCGUUUAGCACAUUACCACUAAUGACGCCACGGCAGUUUUGGCACGAUUCUGCCGCCUUCAAAAGUGAAAAGAAUCAUCACCUAAAACCAAACAAACAAAAAAUGUAAACAGCAAUUCAACGUGAAACGAAAGGAAAUGUUUUCUAAAAUAUCAAAAUAACCUAAGAUUCUUAUUGUAUUGUCUUUCAUUGGUUUCCUGUACAAAAUUCCGUUUUUGGACCUAAAAAGGAUCUAAUAGAGCAACACAACGACGAUGGACGAUAA
Long non-coding RNA from Daphnia magna, 3749 nucleotides. RefSeq lists it as uncharacterized. The transcript is spliced from 3 exons. NCBI's taxonomy places the organism in Eukaryota, Metazoa, Arthropoda, Branchiopoda, Diplostraca, Daphniidae. The record is from RefSeq and is a predicted model, not a curated record.